GCCGGCCUCACCGGUAUGGGCCGCAACAAGAAGAAGAGGAAAGAUGGUGACGACCGGCGGCCCAGGCUGUUCUCAGCUUCGACGAGGAGAAGAGGCGGGAGUACCUGACUGGCUUCCACAAGCGGAAGGUCGAGCGGAAGAAGGCAGCCAUUGAGGAGAUUAAGCAGCGGCUAAAAGAGGAGCAGAGGAAGCUUCGGGAGGAGCGCCACCAGGAAUACUUGAAGAUGCUGGCAGAGAGAGAAGAGGCGCUGGAGGAGGCAGAUGAGCUGGACCAGUUGGUGACAGCAAAGACGGAGUCGGUGCAGUAUGACCACCCCAACCACACAGUCACCGUGACCACCAUCAGUGACCUGGACCUCUCAGGGGCCCGGCUGCUCGGGCUGACCCCACCUGAGGGAGGGUCUGGAGACGGGUCUGAGGAGGCGGCCUCAUCCAUGGAGAAGCCAACCAAAGCCUUGCCCAGGAAGUCCAGAGACCCCCUGCUCUCUCAGCGGAUCUCCUCUCUCACAGCCUCACUGCAUGCACACAGCCGCAAAAAGGUCAAGAGGAAACAUCCCCAACGGACCCAGGACUCCAAGAAGCCCCCAAGGGCCACUCGUACCAGCAAGGACGGCGUACCAGCGCCGCCGUCUGACAGGCAAAGCGCGGCACAGCGGGGAGUGAGACCAAGAACCAAGCGGUGGCCCAGCCUAGGCUGCGAGGACCUGUCCUUUCUCAGCUUGGCUGUCCCUGUAGCCCAGCCUGCACCUAGGUAAUGACUGCACAGCUCAAGGUUGGGAAGCCAGGACCUAUCUGGCCUGGGGCCAGCUGCCUUUGCCUGGCGUUUGAAUUCCAGAAGGAGCAGGCAGCAGAGAACAGGCCUCCCCCAGGAAGAGCCUUCAGAGCCGUGCUGGGGCAUCUUCCCAAAUGUGCACCCCACCUGGCACUCAUCAGAUUUCUGGAACUCAGAGAUUUGUGUGCUUGUGAUUUGUUUGUCCGUGAUGCCACGCACACGGCAGGUUUCUGCAGUGGUGGAAAUGGUCGGGGCCCAUGGGUCUGUCUCCAGCAGUUUGCCCUGUGGCUACAAUAAAGUACAGUUCUCCCUGAAAAAAAAAAAAAAAAAGAAA
Chlorocebus sabaeus (green monkey) is the source of this 1106-nucleotide non-coding RNA. The record is from RefSeq and is a predicted model, not a curated record. Lineage: Eukaryota; Metazoa; Chordata; Mammalia; Primates; Cercopithecidae.